Lolium perenne is the source of this 1390-nucleotide long non-coding RNA. RefSeq lists it as uncharacterized. The record is from RefSeq and is a predicted model, not a curated record. Lineage: Eukaryota; Viridiplantae; Streptophyta; Magnoliopsida; Poales; Poaceae.
CUUCUCUAUGUACUGUUGUGCUCGUACAGAUUGUACUUCACGUCGGUGAGGGAAAGAAAAAUGCGGGCCAAACUUUUGUUAUCACUUGCCACUCGCCAGGCUCUCUUCCUCCCCAAACCCGGCCUCUCCUUUCCCGUCCCGCUCUUCCUUCCGCCGGCGGCGGCAACAGAGGUACUUGUGGCGAGCAGGCAGCCGCCUCGUUUCCUCGAGGCGCCUGUCGGCCAUCUCUGGGAGCAAGGGUGUCUAGCAUCUACAUCUGGACAGACGGGCAGCAAGCUCCCACCUUGGGGCGGACGGGCGGAGAGAUGGGGCGGGAACCUGGAGCCAUGGAUGACGGCAGUCUUGUCGAGGCUGACGCAUCGGGAGGUCGGCUACAGGACGUACAGCACCAAGCGGCAGCAAUUUGGUUUGGGAUUUUGGGAAAGGAAGUGCUCUGCACCUUGGUGAAUUAACGGCACGAGAGCUCGUACUGCUCAUAACAUACAGUUUGGCUUGGAUGGAGCCAUGCUUCUGAGAACCCAGAACUUCCAGAUGUGUUGAAUGAACAUGAUUUUUUUUUCUUCGGCCACAAUCAGCCACGAUGGUCUCACACUCUCACUAAGCCAUACGACUGAUUCUUCUAUUAUUGUGCAAGGAGCGGGAGUACCAACUCUUCCAUGGAAUGGAUCACAUUUUCACAGAUUCUCCAAAUGGACGUGCAAGGCAACCGAGAUGAGAAGAGACCUGCUGAUUUGCGCUUGCGGGAGCAUGUCUGUGGCUUGACUAUGAUGUCUGCAUUAUGGGGAUUUCCGGGUUUCCUCUUCAUGUGUUAUUCAAAAGUUGAGUUGAGUGCAGUGUACCAUUGAAUUGCUGCUAUGUGUUUACCAGUAUAAUGUUGUAGUAGCUAAAUGAAUUUUACUUGGUGCGAUGUGUUUACCAACUCAUGGUAUGCUCGGUAUUUACAGGGACUUCAUGGUAGAUUUGGUCAAAAGACAAGCAAGGCAAUUGAGCUGCGGAGAGACCUGCUGAUUUGGACUUGGCGGGAUCGUGUCUCGGAUGGCUUGACUAUGAUCUCCGUGUUAUAGGGAUAUCUGAAUUUCCGAUUCAUGUCUUAUUCAAAGUCUAGCUGACCAAAGUCUACCAUUGUACUGGUUCGUACGUGUUUACCAAAUCUGCAGUGUUAGAAAUAAGCACUCCGGCUCCGGCACGACACCAAGCAAUCACGUGUACGAGAAGAAUUGCUAGGAUACGUAUUUGUAUAGGAGUGGAUCUAGUCACGACUCGUACUGCUAGUUCGAGUAGGAUAGCAAGUCCUGGCAUAUAUAAGUGCGUGUAUACCUAGCUUUGUAAACUACACCGUGAGUUGAAGCAAUAGAAACUACAGGUGCGACACGCACCUGUUGCAAUCCAA